UGGUUUUGGUCUGGUUUGCCUUGUUGGGUGUAGGUUUAGGUUUUUUUGUCCCCUUUGAUGUGUCUGUUCUCUGUUUUUUCCUUGAGUCUGUUUGGUUUUAGUCUUUUCUUUCUUUUAGAGUCUGGGGACAGAAUGGUGUCUUGGUGCUCUCUCCCUGAUUCAACUUCAUUUUUUGGAGGGCUAAGAGUUCCAAUCCCAGCUUUACUUGCUUGAGCUUCUGAUAUUCUAAAGGCUAAGAAGGUGAGAUCUUUGGAAUCAUUGAUAGAUUGUUAUACUUCCUCUUGUCAACUCCUAAGUCUUUGGAGGGCUAAGAGGAUGCUUGAGAGCUAAUUUUUUUUUUUUGGAAAAGAAGUCAUGAUGCUGUGUUUUUGAAAUUUCCAAUACUCCUUCAAGCUUUGGAGGACCAAGAGUACAAGAUCGGGCCCUUUGGGCGUUUUGCAGAUCAAAAAAAAAAAUAGAGUACAAGAUCAGGAUGCUAUCUGGAAAUCCAUAAUCCAUUACUCUUUCAACUCCUCAAUUUUGGAGGGUUAGAAGUAUAGAUCAGUGGAUCCUUGUCUCUUCUUUCAACUCCCAACUCCGGGGAGGGCUAAGAGACCAAUUGGAGGUGUAGCCAACACUGAGGGGCUGGUUAUUGAUGCAUUGGAUUAUGCCUAUUUCUGAUUCAACCACUGUUUUCUUUUGUUGAUGCUGGAUCUGAACUAAAUGAUGAACUGAAUUAGUGCUGGAACUUGCUGGAAAUCUAUUGUACUGUUGAGAUUCACUAUCUAAUGGGAUUGCUACUGCGGUUUUGGUACUAAUGGAGCUGAGCUGAAGGAUGAUCUGAAUAUCGAUUUCUUGAUACUCAUUCCUGGUGGGAAAAAUGGUGGAACUUUUGCUACUCUACUGAGUUUCGCAGCUCUUUCAACACCAAUGAUUUGGAGGGCUAAGAGCUGUAACCACAAGCUGCUUUUCUCAGGUGGACACCCUGUUAUAUCUGAUCCAAAUGUUUGAAGAAGAUGUCUACGGAUGCCAAAGGAUUUCAAUCUGCUGAUAUUUGGUGACUUCCCUUAAUGUUAAGGACUUUUGCAAGAUGAUACCAUUGGUUGUUGGAUGAUCAUGAUGAAGUAUGGCGUCCCUCAAUGCCAACACAACUGAUAUUGGGAUGAUGGUUGGAAGGCCUUUGUUCUGGGGCUUAUUCAAUUAUCAUUGAAUGUAUCUUUUCGUUUUUUCUUUUCUCUUUCCUAGGUCUUUUAUGGACUUCAAUUUUUGAAGUGUAUAAUCGACCUUCACUCGAUAUACCCUUUGUCGAAUUUCUUAAUAAAAUCUUGUUGCUUAUAAAAAAAAAAAAAUUUUUGAACAUCAAA
Long non-coding RNA from Rhododendron vialii, 1343 nucleotides. RefSeq lists it as uncharacterized. The record is from RefSeq and is a predicted model, not a curated record. Lineage: Eukaryota; Viridiplantae; Streptophyta; Magnoliopsida; Ericales; Ericaceae. The transcript has 2 exons.